Molecule: long non-coding RNA, 2792 nt
Organism: Orbicella faveolata
Lineage: Eukaryota; Metazoa; Cnidaria; Anthozoa; Scleractinia; Merulinidae
Source: RefSeq, a predicted model, not a curated record
GCUGACUCUGUGUUACUGCGAUCAAAGUUGUGAUUUCCUUCUUGCUAAGCCUCGUACAAGUACUGACUUGAAUGAAAACGUUAAACAAAGUGUAAAAUAAAAUAAAUUAAAUAUGCAAAAUUAAUGCCCCUCGAAAUUGUAGAACCAUUUACAAUCCAGUUAGUACGUACAAUGGGCCUAAUUCCCCCAGCCUAUCUGCCGAGGUUCAGAAUAAAGUUUAACUUAUUAAAUCAUUGGAAUAUUGAUGAUAUGUUUUAGACUGUCUGUCUCAAUUAUGAUUGUAAGUUUGACUACGCUCUGAUAAGAAAUAAAGAUAAGUGAAAUCGACACAAAAAGGCAAGAAGAUAAAAGAUGAGACGAAAGAUAUUACAAAGUUUGUAACGGUAAUGAAAAAUUAAAGCUGGUAUUCCAAAAACAAAAAUGUGCGAUGCAGAUAUGUUGCGCGUGUUUAUAACGUGUAACGGAUAAAGAUCUCUACUGCCUCCCACAACGCGCAAUACUGGUAUGCCUUAUAGCGCAACUGAAGCACUGUCUCUACGAGAAAGCCUUUUGUCCAAUGAAAUUAUUCAUCCGUUAGAUCUGCAGUAUGGCUAAAUUUGUUGAUAAAAUCCCAGUUCAAUUUAAUAGCAACAUAGCAUAGAGAAAAACCUUAUGAGAUAGAUGGUUUAAAGAAUAAUGCAGUGAUCAAUACUUCAAGUAAUAUUUUAAAUCUCUGAGAACAAUAUGCAUUGUUUUUAAACUCUUAUCAAUUACCGAUAUCAAAGUCUUCUGUGGUCCUCCAGCUGCAAUCAUACAGCUGCUAUUACGCGAAAUUAUGUACUUGUAUCUGCAGCUGGUUACUUUAGUGGGAGCGCAUUAACUGAAAAGUCCACCUGUAUACGCUUUGCCAAAAUUGUGCAGAGACCAGGAUUGUAACAAGUUCCAUGGGGAAUUUGUUCAUCACCUUUGCCAUAUUUCUUUGCAUCUCUCCGGGAUCAGCUCUCAAGUGUUACCGUUGUGAAAGUAGCGAAAGUUGGAUCGAGUGCGAUGAUAGUGCGAAGAAUAUUAUAACCUGCUCCGCUGGGCAGAGUCGGUGUGGCAAGGUAUUUAAACGAGCUGAUCAAAUAUCCACAUUCGCCAGAGGUUGUUUAUCUGCCAAGCAAUGCUACGAUGGACCAGAAAACUUUGAGCUAUGCAGAAAAGCACAAGAGAGGGGCUCCAAAGUCACAUGUCAGAUGUCAUGUUGUUCCGGUGAUCUUUGUAAUGGAGCUGCCCACAUGUCAGUUGUCGGCGGUCUUAUAUUGCUGACAUGCGCCGUAGUAGCCACUGUAGUUUAUAUUAGUAAGAUUUGACGCUUGUAUUAUUUCGCGACUAAUUAGCUUAAAGAGCUAAUAUUUUCUAAGUAUUAAAUCUGACACCGGUCCUGAAUUAUACCGUAAUUUUCUUGUGGCGUUAUCGCUUCAAAGAAUAUGAAGAUGAAUGUUAUUAGAAAAUUAGGAGUUGAUGUUGAUGCCAUUUGAUGGGAUGAAGAAGCAAAACAAAGUUAAAUUGCUACCUCGUAAUGUCUAGACGACUGACAGAAAAGUGCAUGUAAAAUUGCUCGUAAUUCUUAAAAUCUUGGGGUGUACACUGUUAUUAAUUAAAAAGAUAAAUAUGGUACAUUCAGCUCUAACAGUAGUUAUAAGAAUAUGGGAGAUUGGGCCCGUUCUAGCUUGAAUCUCCGGAAAGUUUAAUUUGGGGCAACUACUUACGUUCUAACACAAUACUGCAAAAUUAUAACAGAGCAAACUGGCAUAUGAAGCACUUAUGUAGUUCUUUUUUCGCUUGUUUGGUCACAACCGUCACAUAUGGUCUUAGUGUUCUAAACACAGUGGGGCUUGUCCACAUUGGGCUGCCUGUGGUUUGAAAAGGCGAUUCGAGUGGUCAGCGGUGGGUUGAUAAAUUCAAACUGGCGGAUGCCUUAGUGACCCGGAAGAAUUAAUACCACUUGAGAUAGCAACCACAGCCCGCAGCGGGCGCGAGGCUAAGCAUACCAGAUCGGGCUGACAUUUCCCGACGAAGAAAAAUUGAAACCAACCCCGCUGGUGAUAAGAACAUCCGUGGAAAAUAUUGUUGUUGUAACUCCUUUUAGCGGGUUAAACAUAAUCAUUUAUGAUAUUGAUUGUUAGGUUGAAUAGGGAGCGGAAAUCAAAAAAUCAAAUAAAAUAAAAAGGUUGCAACUCGUUUUAGCAGGCUAUUACAUACAUAUUCAGGAGUCAAGGAACAGUGGAAAAAGAUCAUGGAACAGCAUUUUCCGAAAUUCCGGAAAACGAGACGUUUGCGGCGAAGCAGGCGACGCAAGCGAAAAAUUUUGCCCGGCUGGGGAUUGGGGUCUAGGCGGUGUUUUUCAAAAGUAAAUAUGGCGGCCAAAGGGAAGAGAGCUACCAAAACGAAUGUGUUUUGGUCAAAAGAUCCUGAUGAUCAAGAUGAGAAGAUUGUGAAAGUUCACAUGCCAGGUCAGAUGAAAAGUGUAUCUGCUCUUAAUCUAUUGCAUGUGUAAAUUAUGGAGAGAUAAACCAUUAGCAGUGUGUUAAUACAAUGUAAUCUAUGCUUACAUACAGCUAUAAAUUUGUUGGUUCAAUAUGUUAGCUAACAAUCUGAAUAACGUGUGAAAGAUGGCAUGAAUUAUAGAAUCUGUUACAUUUCGCUGAUAAAUUAUCUGCACUUACAAUCAAGCCUACAAGAUCAUAGCAUGCAAAUAUAGGUUAUUGACCAAGCUUGUUUGGUCAAGAGGGCUGGAAAUUGGCCAAGUUCUUUUUUUGCAUGUUUAUGGA